AUACAGAGGUCCCGAGCGUUGUUCGGAUUCACUGGGCGUAAAGGGUGCGUAGGCGGUUGGAUAAGUCUGACGUGAAAUACUGGAGCUCAACUCCGGAACGGCGUCGGAAACUAUUUGACUAGAGGAUUGGAGGGGGGACUGGAAUUCUCGGUGUAGCAGUGAAAUGCGUAGAUAUCGAGAGGAACACCCGUGGCGAAGGCGAGUCCCUGGACAAUUCCUGACGCUGAGGCACGAAAGCUAGGGGAGC
RNAcentral lists this ribosomal RNA (247 nucleotides) under uncultured bacterium. RNAcentral's name for it is "partial 16S ribosomal RNA". It matches the Rfam family "Bacterial small subunit ribosomal RNA", at positions 523 to 769 of the family's 1533-position model. The record is from RNAcentral.